AGUAGAUGCCUAUGAAUAGUCAAGAAUGUACAAGUCUUUCUCCACUGCAAUUUCCUAGCAUUUCCAAACAUUACAAACUCCUCCUCUCUCUCACUCUCUCUGCCUACUGAAUUGUAUUGCUAAGCAAGUUUAGUUUUCAUCAAACCAAACAAAAUGAAGCAAAAGGUGGUUAUCAGACUAUCUUUGAGUGGGAAUGAUCAGAAAUGUCGGACCAAGGCCUUCAAAGUAGCUGUUUCUCAGCCAGGUGUGGAAUUAGCAGCUAUGACAGGGUAAUGGUAGCCUCAUCGGUGCGGAGAAGAAAUGUGUGCAUCUCCGAUCGCCAUCUCUCAAUCAAGGCCGUCACUAGCGACCUAUCGUGCUGUACCCGACCAACAUCGAUGCACCGGUAGAUACCGCCCCGACGUAGUAUAUUCAGGACGCAAGGAUAUGGGGGGCGAGCAGCUAAGAUCUCCCAUGCUGAGUCUCCCAACCGGGUUCAGACCUGAGCCUCAGCCUGUAGGUCGGAUGUCCUAAUAUCUUUGCGACCUAUGCUCCCGCUGAAGAUAUAGUACCUCUCGGUCGAAGGGCCCCGGAUCAAGAGGGUGGUGAUCCAUCUGUUUUAUGCAUUUUAAAUCAAUCAUUAACAAGUAGUAUUAGUUAUGUUAUCUUUUAUCGAAAAUUAUAUUAAGGAUUGUGGUGAUCCAUCUGUUUUAUGCAUUUUAAAUCAAUCAUUAACAAUUAGUAUUUGUUAUGUAAUCUUUGAUCGAAAAUUAUAUUAAGGAUUGUGGUGAUC
Lycium ferocissimum is the source of this 772-nucleotide long non-coding RNA. RefSeq lists it as uncharacterized. NCBI's taxonomy places the organism in Eukaryota, Viridiplantae, Streptophyta, Magnoliopsida, Solanales, Solanaceae. The record is from RefSeq and is a predicted model, not a curated record. The transcript has 3 exons.